RNAcentral lists this ribosomal RNA (480 nucleotides) under uncultured bacterium. Its description in RNAcentral is "bacterial SSU rRNA". It matches the Rfam family "Bacterial small subunit ribosomal RNA", at positions 501 to 982 of the family's 1533-position model. The record is from RNAcentral.
CUACGUGCCAGCAGCCGCGGUAAUACGGAGGGUGCGAGCGUUAAUCGGAAUAACUGGGCGUAAAGGGCACGCAGGCGGCUAUUUAAGUGAGGUGUGAAAUCCCCGGGCUUAACCUGGGAAUUGCAUUUCAGACUGGGUAGCUAGAGUACUUUAGGGAGGGGUAGAAUUCCACGUGUAGCGGUGAAAUGCGUAGAGAUGUGGAGGAAUACCGAAGGCGAAGGCAGCCCCUUGGGGAUGUACUGACGCUGAUGUGCGAAAGCGUGGGGAGCAAACAGGAUUAGAUACCCUGGUAGUCCACGCUGUAAACGGUGUCGAUUUGGGGAUUGGGGUUUAGCCCUGGUGCCCGAAGCUAACGUGAUAAAUCGACCGCCUGGGGAGUACGGCCGCAAGGUUAAAACUCAAAUGAAUUGACGGGGGCCCGCACAAGCGGUGGAGCAUGUGGUUUAAUUCGAUGCAACGCGAAGAACCUUACCUACUCUU